RNAcentral lists this unclassified non-coding RNA (351 nucleotides) under soil metagenome. Its description in RNAcentral is "partial contains 5.8S ribosomal RNA, internal transcribed spacer 2, and large subunit ribosomal RNA". The stretch from base 1 to 120 matches the Rfam family "5.8S ribosomal RNA", at positions 35 to 154 of the family's 154-position model. The record is from RNAcentral.
GAUGAAGAACGAAGCGAAAUGCGAUAAGUAAUGUGAAUUGCAGAAUUCAGUGAAUCAUCGAAUCUUUGAACGCACAUUGCGCCCGCCAGUAUUCUGGCGGGCAUGCCUGUCCGAGCGUCAUUUCAACCCUCGAGCCCCUCCGGGGGGUCGGCGUUGGGGAUCGGCCCCUCACCGGGCCGCCCCCGAAAUACAGUGGCGGUCUCGCCGCAGCCUCUCCUGCGCAGUAGUUUGCACACUCGCACCGGGAGCGCGGCGCGGCCACAGCCGUAAAACACCCCAAGCAUUCUGAAAUGUUGACCUCGGAUCAGGUAGGAAUACCCGCUGAACUUAAGCAUAUCAAUAAGCGGAGGA